AUAUAUGUAUGUAUGUUAUUGAGAGCAUAGGGCUCCUAAUAAUUACUAGCAAAACAUGUUCGUGCGUUGCAACAGGGUAUAUAAUUUAUUAUUUGAUAAUUGUACACUUUUUAUAAAAUUUAAAUGAGUUUAGUCCAACCUUGAAUCAAAUAAAUAUAACCCCACCAAAACAAACAAAAACUACCAAACUAAUAUCGGAAAUCACCUUGAGAAGAAAUAGAAAAAAAUCAUGUCCCAUAAAAAAAUCAGAAAUCUUCAUGUACAGUGGAGGAAAAAGAGUAAAAAAUGAUAUAAAAAUAUGUAUAGAAAUUGAAAGGGGAAGAUAAAAGCAUCACAUGAGGGAACAAUUCCAUCAACACAGCACGUCAGAUCAGUCCACUUUUAUUGUCGCUCAGUGCAAUCCAAAGCAAAACCAGCGGCGCAGUUAGUGACAAAAGCCCACAGCCACAGCCGCCACAUAAUAAUACAAUUAAUAGGUAACAGUUCUCAACAUCCUUUCAUCACAGUAUUUGUUUGAGACGUACAUGAACAAAGCAUAUGUAAUUUCGUAUGAUUAAGAGGAAGUACCUUGUGGCCAGCAUUGAUGCAUCACAAGAGAAGGAACAGCCGAUGAGAGGGCGAUCAUCUCCAAUCUCGCUACACUCCAAGACAAACUCCCCGGC
RNAcentral lists this long non-coding RNA (662 nucleotides) under Sorghum bicolor (sorghum). RNAcentral describes it as "long non-coding RNA (SBIC_LNC012233)". The record is from RNAcentral. Lineage: Eukaryota; Viridiplantae; Streptophyta; Magnoliopsida; Poales; Poaceae.